Molecule: long non-coding RNA, 477 nt
Organism: Drosophila albomicans
Lineage: Eukaryota; Metazoa; Arthropoda; Insecta; Diptera; Drosophilidae
Exons: 3
Source: RefSeq, a predicted model, not a curated record
AUCGCAGUCAACUCUUUAGUUUUUACUUCUAGAAAUUAUAUAAAAAAGCUUUAAAAAACAUACAAAAUACGUAUAAAUAUCAACUGAUUGUGGCUAGAAUAUUCAAGUGGCUAUGCAACGAAAUCAUUAAGAUGUUGCAAGCAAUAAAAAAAAAGCAAAAUGCAAUUAAAAUGUUUUCCGACUACAAUUGGCUGGCAUGGAGCAUGAGGCGACUUGGAAGAGAAAAAAUGUUUGGGUGAACAAGUCUUGCAGUCAAAGGCGCAGCUGGUUGCCGUCGAGUGCAAAGCGGACCUAACAAUGCGUUACAUUUGCUUUGGCAUUCCAAAUCCCAUGGAAAACAUUAAAAAUACAUUCCGUAAAUCUAGACAAAUAGAUGCAGAGUUUGAGUUACUGCGGAGACAAUUGCAGAGAGACUAGAAUAAUUAAUAAAUUGAUCACAUUGUUUUCACAUCUCCCGGAAUACUUUGUGUGUUAUUU